UCGGAGUGAAAGGCUAAUCAAACCGGGAGAUAGCUGGUUCUCGCCGAAAGAUAUUUAGGUAUCGCCUCGGAAAACUCUGUCGAGGAGGUAGAGCACUGGAUGGGCUAGGGGUCUUACCAGAUUACCAAACCCACCAAACUCCUAAUGCCUCGACAUUUACUCCGGGAGUCAGGCUGUGGGAGCUAAGUUCCAUGGCCAAAAGGGAAAGAGCCCAGACCGCCAGCUAAGGUCCCUAAGUCGUUGCUAAGUGGUAAAGGAUGUGGAAGCACACAGACAACCAGGAGGUUGGCUUAGAAGCAGCCAUCCUUUAAAGAAAGCGUAAUAGCUCACUGGUCAAGUGAGUCCGCGCCGAAAAUUUAACGGGGCUAAAGUAACGCACCGAAGCUGCGGGUUGAUUUUAUCAGCGGUAGGCGAGCAUUGUCACAACUGUGAAGCCAGACGGUAACGACUGGUGGAGUGGUGACAAGAGCGAAUGCAGGCUUGAGUAGCGAUAAACCGAGC
This 501-nucleotide ribosomal RNA is filed under the name uncultured bacterium. Its description in RNAcentral is "bacterial LSU rRNA". It matches the Rfam family "Bacterial large subunit ribosomal RNA", at positions 816 to 1322 of the family's 2925-position model. The record is from RNAcentral.